UAUAAGCAAAUUUAUGAGUUCGUAAAUGAAGCAGAUCUAGCAGUUGCAGGACUCUCCUUAUGAAGUUUAGUUCAUAAGUGAUCCAUUAGUAGCUCAUACGUGAAAUACAUAAGACACAAAAGGAUACAUAGGUUAAUGAUGUUGAAAAGGUAUGAAAUUUAUGGAGUAUAUUUUGGUCUCCUCAAUUAUUGAUUGUAUUUUGGUAUCUUCAGAUCAUGUCUCUAAUGCUUUUUCAGCUUCUGUCCUUCAGCAAUUUUUACAUGCUAACUGUCCGUAACUUCUUUAAUGAUUCUGUUUUCAACUUCCAUCCUUUAGAUUCUUUCCAGGUUUACUAUCCGCAACCAUAUCUAAAUAAUACUCAUUUCGUUGUGUAUUAUUAGACUAAAAUUAAAUGGCUUUGUCUUCUAUUUUUAUUUUGCAACUCCUUUUAGGGAUAAGUGGCUUGUCCUCAUCUUGCAAAAGCUUUAGCCAAAGAAUCAUUCUUCGCCUUCUAUCAUUUGGAACUGCUUUCAGUGAACAUUGGCAGUUUCAUAAUACUAUCAUUAUGGUUUUACUGCAAAUUUCCAGGUCAUGAAAGAGUUUCAUUCUAUAGAACAUAUCAAAGAGCCUGGAACAACUUACUUUUGUAGGACACUGCUAUCUGGAGAAGCUAUCCCCAUUUCCUUCGACCCAUCAUGUAUUGUACUUCAAUACUUCAAAUUCUACCAAGAUUUGCUAGAGCUCAUUGGUCUCAAACCUACCUUUCCUUUACGGAUACCCAACUGAAAUACUGACUUAUCAACUGCAGCUGUUAAAAAUCAGAUUUCACACAAUCGUAAUAUGCCUCAUACAUAACUUGGACCACGUAUGUUUUACUGUUUUUACCUUUCUAGCAAGCUCAAAGUAUAGCUGUAUAACUUUGUUCCAUAACUGAAUGUAUACAAUAUGAAGCAUAUUAUGUUAAUACUUAGUUUAAUGAUGUCUCCUUUAUUUGGAUCUCAUUAGUACAACGAUGUUCGGAGUAUGCCCGUGCAUAGCACGAGCACGGACCAUCUAGUA
Long non-coding RNA from Lycium barbarum (goji berry), 1038 nucleotides. RefSeq lists it as uncharacterized. The record is from RefSeq and is a predicted model, not a curated record. NCBI's taxonomy places the organism in Eukaryota, Viridiplantae, Streptophyta, Magnoliopsida, Solanales, Solanaceae. The transcript has 2 exons.